UACGUAGGGUGCGAGCGUUGUCCGGAAUUAUUGGGCGGAAAGAGCUUGUAGGCGGUUUGUCGCGUCUGCUGUGAAAAUCCGGGGCUCAACCCCGGACUUGCAGUGGGUACGGGCAGACUAGAGUGUGGUAGGGGAGACUGGAAUUCCUGGUGUAGCGGUGAAAUGCGCAGAUAUCAGGAGGAACACCGAUGGCGAAGGCAGGUCUCUGGGCCACUACUGACGCUGAGAAGCGAAAGCGUGGGGAGCGAACAGG
RNAcentral lists this ribosomal RNA (253 nucleotides) under uncultured bacterium. RNAcentral's name for it is "partial 16S ribosomal RNA". It matches the Rfam family "Bacterial small subunit ribosomal RNA", at positions 524 to 776 of the family's 1533-position model. The record is from RNAcentral.